AUGGUUCUUUCUUGGUUGAGAGAGUUCACUGGAGGGAAGGAUUUAGUUAGGCCAGCAGUGACAAGAUUUGCUACUGCCUAUUUGACUUCGGGUUGUCUGCAUGAGCACAAGGGCGCAUUAAUCAAUAUGUUCGCUUCAACAAAGUGGAGGGGUAGUAGAUUUAAUUCUGCAGAAGGGAAGGUCGUUCAAGGAAUUGUUUUGGAUAGCUAUGGGUUUUGGCCUAAUAUUGCCACAUGUCUGAAGACUGCACUCCCAAUUAUAAAAGUUCUUCGAUUGGUGGAUUCAGAUGAGAAGCCAGCAAUGUCGUUCAUCUAUGAUGAGAUGGAUCGUGCAAAAGAUGAAAUAAAGCAAAAUUUUAACUAUGUGAAGAAAAGCUACACUCCAGUAUUUAAUAUAAUUGAUGAGAGAUGGCGUACACAACUUCAUAGGCCUUUGCAUGCUGCCGCAUAUUAUUUGAAUCCACAAUGCCACUAUAGUGAUAAUUUCAAGCCGGCUGAAGUAAAACGUGGCCUGUACACUUGUCUUGAAAAGAUGGUUCUAGAUUUAGAUGAAAGAGUCAAGAUAGAUCUGCAGAUUGAUUCAUUUAGGAGUGCCGAGGGCCUAUUUGGAAUGCAAUCGGCUAUUAUGACAAGAACAAAAAAAAAUGCCAGCUGA
RNAcentral lists this ribosomal RNA (654 nucleotides) under Triticum aestivum (bread wheat). Its description in RNAcentral is "partial small subunit ribosomal RNA". The record is from RNAcentral. Lineage: Eukaryota; Viridiplantae; Streptophyta; Magnoliopsida; Poales; Poaceae.